Molecule: ribosomal RNA, 528 nt
Filed under: uncultured bacterium
Lineage: Bacteria
Description: bacterial SSU rRNA
Rfam family: Bacterial small subunit ribosomal RNA
Source: RNAcentral
AGUGGGGAAUUUUCCGCAAUGGGCGAAAGCCUGACGGAGCAACGCCGCGUGAGGGAUGAAGGCCUCUGGGCUGUAAACCUCUUUUCUCAAGGAAGAAGAACUGACGGUACUUGAGGAAUAAGCCACGGCUAAUUCCGUGCCAGCAGCCGCGGUAAUACGGGAGUGGCAAGCGUUAUCCGGAAUUAUUGGGCGUAAAGCGUCCGCAGGCGGCCCUUCAAGUCUGCUGUUAAAAAGUGGAGCUUAACUCCAUCGUGGCAGUGGAAACUGUUGGGCUAGAGUGUGGUAGGGGCAGAGGGAAUUCCCGGUGUAGCGGUGAAAUGCGUAGAUAUCGGGAAGAACACCAGUGGCGAAGGCGCUCUGCUGGGCCAUANNNACGCUCAUGGACGAAAGCCAGGGGAGCGAAAGGGAUUAGAUACCCCUGUAGUCCUGGCCGUAAACGAUGAACACUAGGUGUCGGGGGAAUCGACCCCCUCGGUGUCGUAGCCAACGCGUUAAGUGUUCCGCCUGGGGAGUACGCACGCAAGUGUG